RNAcentral lists this long non-coding RNA (395 nucleotides) under Prunus dulcis (almond). RNAcentral's name for it is "sRNA ncRNA". The record is from RNAcentral. Lineage: Eukaryota; Viridiplantae; Streptophyta; Magnoliopsida; Rosales; Rosaceae.
AUGGGGAGAGUGAAGCUUCAGAUCAAGAGGAUUGAGAAUACGACUAAUAUACAAGUCACUUUCUCAAAAAGAAGAAGCGGACUUAUCAAGAAAGCCUAUGAACUCUCUGUUCUCUGUGAUGUUGAUGUAGCUCUCAUCAUGUUUUCUCCAUCUGGGAGACCCAGUCUCUUUUCUGGCAAUAAAAGGUAAUCAUCUGGCUAAUUCUAUAUACAUGAUUAAUCUUGUAUAAGCUGCUCAAUAUUGGUAAAGCUGGACAAGUAUUAUUUUAUUUUACUGGUUUACUAAUAAUAAAUUAAACAAUGAUUAUUUUUCCUGUUUCUUUUGUUGUUUUGUGAAGCAUUGAAGAGAUUCUGGCACUCUAUGUUAAUCUUCCUGAGCAUGAACGGGGACGGUAA